AUAUGUGGAAAGCUGAUCCAGCUACUGCGCCACGUUGAUGGAGGUUCUCCCCAUGAUCUGAAUUAUUUCAUAGAGAAGAAAAACAAGCUGCACAGGGCAGAAUGGUAUUGAAUGUUAUAAUAUGGAGCCCCUAUCACUGGAUUAAUAUUGGGCAUUUGCACCAACUGUACAGUAUACUUGACUACCUAGAAGGCCUCGCCCAUCCCUCCUAGAAGACUCAUAGAUCAAUGUUCUAAUUCCAUGGUAUACAGCUCUUCAAAGAAGAGCAUAAAAUAGCAAAUAGACCUCUA
Long non-coding RNA from Podarcis raffonei (Aeolian wall lizard), 290 nucleotides. RefSeq lists it as uncharacterized. The record is from RefSeq and is a predicted model, not a curated record. NCBI's taxonomy places the organism in Eukaryota, Metazoa, Chordata, Lepidosauria, Squamata, Lacertidae. The transcript is spliced from 2 exons.